UCACCAUGGUGACAGUGACUGAAGUAUAUAAAAGAUGGCGACUUCAGUAGGCUCUAGUUUACCUGCCAAAUCUUGAUUAAUGGAAAGCAGGAGUUUGAGGUGCAGCAACUGGACCACAAAGCGGACGGGAACUGCUCCAGUGGAAGAUUGGAUCUAAAACCUUCGAAUGACACACUGUUUAUAUAAUAAGUGUGCUGCUCACAUACUUGUCUUCAGAUGGGAAAGACGACAGGCCUUUACAGAUGAAGAUACUGCUUUUUUGGUGAUGGGUGAUGUUUGGUCACCAGUUUUUCUUUUUUUUUUUAAAGAACAUCACAGCUCUUGUCUCACUUGUCUGUCUUAGUUUGAUAUCUUGAGGAAUUUCACAACAGGGGGUAUUCCAAAAGGAUUCACUGAGACAUCUUGUUUUUUCAAACCUGAUGCUUUUCUUAGAGUUUUAAAAGGGGAUUUAUUUGUGGAAGGAAAUUAGGAAUUGUGGAACUUUCUCCUCAAGGAAUAUUUAAAUAAUCAGUCUGCUUUUUCAAAGAGGUCCAGAACUAGGUGCAUUAACAAUUUUAAAAUUGACCCAUAUAUGAGCAUGUGUGAUGAAAGACUUUAUAUUUAUGUUCCAGUUUUGG
This is a long non-coding RNA of Carassius carassius (crucian carp), 617 nucleotides long. RefSeq lists it as uncharacterized. The record is from RefSeq and is a predicted model, not a curated record. The transcript is spliced from 3 exons. NCBI's taxonomy places the organism in Eukaryota, Metazoa, Chordata, Actinopteri, Cypriniformes, Cyprinidae.